GCGGACGUGGCGGAACUGGUAUACGCGUUGGACUUAAAAUCCAAUGGCUUUAUAGCUAUGAGGGUUCAAGUCCCUCCGUCCGCACCA
Molecule: transfer RNA, 87 nt
Filed under: Rhodospirillaceae bacterium
Lineage: Bacteria; Pseudomonadati; Pseudomonadota; Alphaproteobacteria; Rhodospirillales; Rhodospirillaceae
Also listed under: 2 other names
Description: tRNA-Leu
Rfam family: tRNA
About the family: Transfer RNA (tRNA) molecules are approximately 80 nucleotides in length.
Source: RNAcentral